CACGUAGGGGGCGAGCGUUGUCCGGAAUUAUUGGGCGUAAAGGGCGCGCAGGCGGUCUCUUAAGUCUGAUGUGAAAGGCCACGGCUCAACCGUGGGAUGGAAUUGGAAACUGGGGGACUUGAGUGCAGGAGAGGGGAGCGGAAUUCCCGGUGUAGCGGUGAAAUGCGUAGAGAUCGGGAGGAACACCAGUGGCGAAGGCGGCUCUCUGGCCUGUAACUGACGCUGAGGCGCGAAAGCGUGGGGAGCGAAC
Molecule: ribosomal RNA, 250 nt
Filed under: uncultured prokaryote
Description: partial 16S ribosomal RNA
Rfam family: Bacterial small subunit ribosomal RNA
Source: RNAcentral